CCUACGGGGGCUGCAGUGGGGAAUAUUGGACAAUGGGCGAAAGCCUGAUCCAGCCAUGCCGCGUGUGUGAAGAAGGCCUUCGGGUUGUAAAGCACUUUCAGUGGGGAAGAAAGCCUUGGGGCUAAUACCCUCGAGGAAGGACAUCACCCACAGAAGAAGCACCGGCUAACUCCGUGUCAGCAGCCGCGGUAAUACGGAGGGUGCGAGCGUUAAUCGGAAUUACUGGGCGUAAAGCGCGCGUAGGCGGUCUGAUAAGCCGGUUGUGAAAGCCCCGGGCUCAACCUGGGAACGGCAUCCGGAACUGUCAGGCUAGAGUGCAGGAGAGGAAGGUAGAAUUCCCGGUGUAGCGGUGAAAUGCGUAGAGAUCGGGAGGAAUACCAGUGGCGAAGGCGGCCUUCUGGACUGACACUGACGCUGAGGUGCGAAAGCGUGGGUAGCAAACAGGAUUAGAUACCCGUGUAGUC
Molecule: ribosomal RNA, 464 nt
Filed under: Vreelandella stevensii
Lineage: Bacteria; Pseudomonadati; Pseudomonadota; Gammaproteobacteria; Oceanospirillales; Halomonadaceae
Description: partial 16S ribosomal RNA
Rfam family: Bacterial small subunit ribosomal RNA
Source: RNAcentral